Molecule: ribosomal RNA, 561 nt
Filed under: Penicillium polonicum
Lineage: Eukaryota; Fungi; Ascomycota; Eurotiomycetes; Eurotiales; Aspergillaceae
Description: eukaryotic LSU rRNA
Rfam family: 5.8S ribosomal RNA (bases 224-376)
Source: RNAcentral
AGUCGUAAACAGGUUUUCCGUAGGUGAACUUGCGGAAGGAUCAUUACCGAGUGAGGGCCCUUUGGGGUCCAACCUCCCACCGGUGUUUAUUUUACCUUGUUGCUUCGGCGGGCCCGCCUUUACUGGCCGCCGGGGGGCUCACGCCCCCGGGCCCGCGCCCGCCGAAGACACCCCCGAACUCUGUCUGAAGAUUGAAGUCUGAGUGAAAAUAUAAAUUAUUUAAAACUUUCAACAACGGAUCUCUUGGUUCCGGCAUCGAUGAAGAACGCAGCGAAAUGCGAUACGUAAUGUGAAUUGCAAAUUCAGUGAAUCAUCGAGUCUUUGAACGCACAUUGCGCCCCCUGGUAUUCCGGGGGGCAUGCCUGUCCGAGCGUCAUUGCUGCCCUCAAGCCCGGCUUGUGUGUUGGGCCCCGUCCUCCGAUUCCGGGGGACGGGCCCGAAAGGCAGCGGCGGCACCGCGUCCGGUCCUCGAGCGUAUGGGGCUUUGUCACCCGCUCUGUAGGCCCGGCCGGCGCUUGCCGAUCAACCCAAAUUUUUAUCCAGGUUGACCUCGAUCAGGUA